This 450-nucleotide ribosomal RNA is filed under the name uncultured bacterium. Its description in RNAcentral is "partial 16S ribosomal RNA". It matches the Rfam family "Bacterial small subunit ribosomal RNA", at positions 354 to 796 of the family's 1533-position model. The record is from RNAcentral.
GUGGGGAAUCUUCCGCAAUGGACGAAAGUCUGACGGAGCAACGCCGCGUGAGUGAUGAAGGUCUUCGGAUUGUAAAGCUCUGUUAAUCGGGACGAAAGAGCCUAGUGUGAAUAAUGCUAGGAAGUGACGGUACCGGAAUAGAAAGCCACGGCUAACUACGUGCCAGCAGCCGCGGUAAUACGUAGGUGGCAAGCGUUGUCCGGAAUUAUUGGGCGUAAAGCGCGCGCAGGCGGAUCUGCCAGUCUGUCUUAAAAGUUCGGGGCUUAACCCCGUGAUGGGAUGGAAACUACAGAUCUAGAGUAUCGGAGAGGAAAGUGGAAUUCCUAGUGUAGCGGUGAAAUGCGUAGAUAUUAGGAAGAACACCAGUGGCGAAGGCGGCUUACUGGACUGUAACUGACGUUGAGGCUCGAAAGCGUGGGGAGCAAACAGGAUUAGAUACCCCGGUAGUCC